UGCGAGCGAACAGGGAAAAGCCCAGCACCGAAUCCCGCGGCCGAUACCGGACGCCGGGAAAUGUGGUGUUCGGGAGGAUCCAUUUAUCCCGAGAUCAUGCAAUGCGUCCAAGUCCUUCUUGAACGGGGCCACAGCCCAUAGAGGGUGCCAGGCCCGUAGUGACCGUUGCUGAUCGCGGGAGGAUCUCUCCUUAGAGUCGGGUUGCUUGAGAGUGCAGCCCUAAGUGGGUGGUAAACUCCAUCUAAGGCUAAAUAUGACCACGAGACCGAUAGCGAACAAGUACCGUGAGGGAAAGUUGAAAAGCACUUUGAAGAGAGAGUUCAAGAGUACGUGAAACCGUUUAGGGGUAAACCUGAGAAACCCGAAAGGUCGAAGGGAGAAAUUCAUUCGCGUUUCGCUGCUGGCGUUGGGCGGUCGUGUGACGGGAUACGUUCGCGUUUUCCGCACCUUCUGUUCUUCGAACCGGCGACGAACGCGUGCACUUUUCUCCUGGUAGGACGUCGCGAUCCGUUGGGUGUCGGUCUACGGCUCUCGGUGGAGCCCGUUCGUAUUCGUUAUGAACGGACCCGAGUGUCCUGGCUGACUCGCUCGACGGUAUAUAUAGAAAGGUUUAAGGCCGCUCAUGGAGCGUUCGACUCGUGGCAAGCGCGUCAGAUGCGUCGGUGAUCGGACCUAGUGCCGAUUCUGACCUCUGAUGACUGUUGGCUACGAAGUUCUCGAACAGACCUCAGACCGAUCUGCGACGCUAUAGCUUUGGGUAAUUUC
RNAcentral lists this ribosomal RNA (765 nucleotides) under Simachus sp. NZAC 03037803. RNAcentral describes it as "partial large subunit ribosomal RNA". It matches the Rfam family "Eukaryotic large subunit ribosomal RNA", at positions 88 to 628 of the family's 3401-position model. The record is from RNAcentral. Lineage: Eukaryota; Metazoa; Arthropoda; Insecta; Coleoptera; Curculionidae.